RNAcentral lists this ribosomal RNA (499 nucleotides) under uncultured bacterium. RNAcentral's name for it is "partial 16S ribosomal RNA". It matches the Rfam family "Bacterial small subunit ribosomal RNA", at positions 28 to 507 of the family's 1533-position model. The record is from RNAcentral.
GACGAACGCUGGCGGCGUGCUUAACACAUGCAAGUCGAACGGGCCCGCCCCUGUUUUUGGGGGUGGGUUGAGUGGCGAACGGGUGAGUAUCACGUGAGUAACCUGCCCCCUGCUCCUGGAUAACUGCUUGAAGGGGCGGCUAAUACGGGGUGUGCCGGCUGGUCCGCAUGGGCCUGGUCGGGAUAGUUUCAUCUUCGGGUGUUUCGGUGGGGGAUGGGCUCGCGGCCUAUCAGCUUGUUGGUGGGGUGAUGGCCCACCAAGGCGGUGACGGGUAGCCGGCCUGAGAGGGUGGGCGGCCACACUGGGACUGAGACACGGCCCAGACUCCUGCGGGAGGCAGCAGUGGGGGGUAUUGCACAAUGGGCGGAAGCCUGAUGCAGCGACGUCGCGUGAGGGAUGGAGGCCUUCGGGUUGUGAACCUCUUUCUCCGGUGGUGAAGGCCCUGUCCGUUGCGGCGGGGUUGACGGUAGCCGGGUAUGAAGCGCCGGCUAACUACGUG